AACGAACGCUGGCGGCAUGCCUAACACAUGCAAGUCGAACGGGAUCCUGGUUUCGGCCAGGUGAGAGUGGCGGACGGGUGAGUAACGCGUGGGAACCUGCCCAGUGGUGGGGGAUAACUGCGGGAAACUGCAGCUAAUACCGCAUGAGCCCGAAAGGGGAAAGAUUGAUCGCCAUUGGAGGGGCCCGCGUUCGAUUAGGUAGUUGGUGAGGUAACGGCUCACCAAGCCUUCGANCGAUAGCUGGUCUGAGAGGAUGAUCAGCCACACUGGGACUGAGAUACGGCCCAGACUCCUACGGGAGGCAGCAGUGGGGAAUAUUGGACAAUGGGGGCGAACCCUGAUCCAGCAAUGCCGCGUGAGUGAUGAA
RNAcentral lists this ribosomal RNA (367 nucleotides) under uncultured bacterium. RNAcentral's name for it is "bacterial SSU rRNA". It matches the Rfam family "Bacterial small subunit ribosomal RNA", at positions 29 to 412 of the family's 1533-position model. The record is from RNAcentral.